This 249-nucleotide ribosomal RNA is filed under the name uncultured bacterium. Its description in RNAcentral is "partial 16S ribosomal RNA". It matches the Rfam family "Bacterial small subunit ribosomal RNA", at positions 87 to 339 of the family's 1533-position model. The record is from RNAcentral.
GGUGGCAAGUGGCGGACGGGUGAGUAAUGCGCAGGAAUAUGCCUUAAAGUGGGGGACAACUUGGGGAAACUCAAGCUAAUACCGCAUACGCCCUACGGGGGAAAGGAGGGGAUCUUCGGACCUUUCGCUAUGAGAUGAGCCUGCGUUAGAUUAGCUAGUUGGUAGGGUAAAGGCCUACCAAGGCGACGAUCUAUAGCUGGUCUGAGAGGACGAUCAGCCACACUGGGACUGAGACACGGCCCAGACUCC